RNAcentral lists this ribosomal RNA (717 nucleotides) under Dactylonectria macrodidyma. RNAcentral describes it as "eukaryotic LSU rRNA". The stretch from base 367 to 520 matches the Rfam family "5.8S ribosomal RNA". The record is from RNAcentral. Lineage: Eukaryota; Fungi; Ascomycota; Sordariomycetes; Hypocreales; Nectriaceae.
ACCCCGGCUCGCGUCCCGGGGAGCGUAAAAAUAGAAUAACAAUACAAAAGCACGAUCAUAAAUCCGUUCUCUCAGAACGACACCCGAAAUGUAAACAUGGUUGUGAACUGUGGCGAGACACUCAUAAACAAAACACCGUCGUGCCUCCUGAUGCGUACCCCCCCCCCCCCACCAGUAAGUAAAAGGUCGUACAAGGUCUCCGUUGGUGAACCAGCGGAGGGAUCAUUACCGAGUUUACAACUCCCAAACCCCUGUGAACAUACCUAUUUGUUGCCUCGGCGGUGCCUGUUCCGACAGCCCGCCAGAGGACCCCAAACCCUGAUUACAUUUAAGAAGUCUUCUGAGUAAACCGAUUAAAUAAAUCAAAACUUUCAACAACGGAUCUCUUGGUUCUGGCAUCGAUGAAGAACGCAGCGAAAUGCGAUAAGUAAUGUGAAUUGCAGAAUUCAGUGAAUCAUCGAAUCUUUGAACGCACAUUGCGCCCGCUAGUAUUCUGGCGGGCAUGCCUGUCCGAGCGUCAUUUCAACCCUCAAGCCCCCGGGCUUGGUGUUGGGGAUCGGCGAGCCUCCGCGCCCGCCGUCCCCUAAAUCUAGUGGCGGUCUCGCUGUAGCUUCCUCUGCGUAGUAGCACACCUCGCACUGGGAAACAGCGCGGCCACGCCGUUAAACCCCCAACUUCUGAACGUUGACCUCGGAUCAGGUAGAUCCCGUACUGCGG